CAAAAUACAAUAUAUGAAUUUAUUUCGGUACUUUUGGAAGCAAAGUAAUAGCAGUAUCUGAAUUACAAACAAAACUUAUGUACAAAUUGUUCAUAGCUUGAGUGCACUAGCAAAUAUCAGAAAUUUUUUGGAGAAAAUUUUCCAUUCUAUUAUUUUGAGCCCUUAUAGAAUCAUUAUUUAAUAGUAAGUUAAAAAAGUAGAGAAGUAAAACCAAAAACUUGUUUUGGUUUACUUCUCUAACAAGUUUUAUGGCAACAAAUAGAAUGAAAUUGUAUCAGUCAACAUCAAUCAACAGAAGCAUAGAUCAGUAUCCCAAUCCCAUGACUUAUCAUUGUGCUGUAUUUGUUGUAAAUAAUAGUGUAACUACAAGGUUCCCCCUUGCCUUGCCUCCUUGGCUAUUCCAUAUUAAUAUAGUUGGAUUGUCAACUUCUCAUAUCAUUAUGAAACAUAUAUUUACUAUCACUAAUUAAAUAUUAAGGUUAAUUCUAUUCAAAAUAAUUAAUUAAUUAAUUAAUUAAUUUUAUUAACACAUACAAAAC
Molecule: long non-coding RNA, 539 nt
Filed under: Androctonus crassicauda
Lineage: Eukaryota; Metazoa; Arthropoda; Arachnida; Scorpiones; Buthidae
Source: RNAcentral